UACGUAGGGGGCUAGCGUUGUCCGGAAUUAUUGGGCGUAAAGCGCGUGUAGGCGGUUCGAUAAGUCUGCUGUAAAAGUCGAGGGCUCAACCCUCGAAGGCCGGUGGAUACUGUCGGACUAGAGUACGGAAGAGGCGAGUGGAAUUCCUGGUGUAGCGGUGAAAUGCGCAGAUAUCAGGAGGAACACCAAUUGCGAAGGCAGCUCGCUGGGACGUUACUGACGCUGAGACGCGAAAGCGUGGGGAGCAAACAGGAUUAGAAACCCCCGUAGUCC
RNAcentral lists this ribosomal RNA (273 nucleotides) under uncultured bacterium. Its description in RNAcentral is "partial 16S ribosomal RNA". It matches the Rfam family "Bacterial small subunit ribosomal RNA", at positions 524 to 796 of the family's 1533-position model. The record is from RNAcentral.